RNAcentral lists this ribosomal RNA (253 nucleotides) under uncultured bacterium. Its description in RNAcentral is "partial 16S ribosomal RNA". It matches the Rfam family "Bacterial small subunit ribosomal RNA", at positions 524 to 776 of the family's 1533-position model. RNAcentral also lists the same sequence under 1 other name. The record is from RNAcentral.
UACGGAGGGUGCAAGCGUUAUCCGGAUUCACUGGGUUUAAAGGGUGCGUAGGUGGGAUGGUAAGUCAGUGGUGAAAUCUCCGGGCUUAACUCGGAAACUGCCGUUGAUACUAUCAUUCUUGAAUCUCGUGGAGGUAAGCGGAAUAUGUCAUGUAGCGGUGAAAUGCUUAGAUAUGACAUAGAACACCGAUAGCGAAGGCAGCUUGCUACACGAGUAUUGACACUGAGGCACGAAAGCGUGGGGAUCAAACAGG